GAUGAAGAACGCAGCGAAAUGCGAUACUUGGUGUGAAUUGCAGAAUCCCGUGAACCAUCGAGUCUUUGAACGCAAGUUGCGCCCGAAGCCAUCAGGUUGAGGGCACGUCUGCCUGGGCGUCACAUAUCGUUGCCCAAUGCCUAUUGCAGUGCAAUAGGAAUUUCUAGUGCGAAUGAUGGCUUCCCGUGAGCGUUGUUGCCUCGCGGUUGGUUGAAAAUCGAGUCCUUGGUAGGGUGUGCCAUGGUAGAUGGUGGUCGAGUUAGAACGAUACCGAUCAUGUGCAUGCUCCCCAAAAUAUGGCCUCUAUGACCCACACGCGUCUUUUGACGCUCAUGACGAGACCUCAGGUCAGGCGGGGCUACCCGCUGAAUUUAAGCAUAUCAAUAAGCGGAGGA
Molecule: unclassified non-coding RNA, 395 nt
Filed under: soil metagenome
Description: partial contains 5.8S ribosomal RNA, internal transcribed spacer 2, and large subunit ribosomal RNA
Rfam family: 5.8S ribosomal RNA (bases 1-122)
Source: RNAcentral